This 578-nucleotide long non-coding RNA is filed under the name Chrysolophus pictus (golden pheasant). RNAcentral's name for it is "lncRNA (ENSCPIG00010002572.1)". The record is from RNAcentral. Lineage: Eukaryota; Metazoa; Chordata; Aves; Galliformes; Phasianidae.
GUAUCCUCACCGAGGCCCCGGCCCCUAACCAGAGCCCGUCCACAGGAGCUGGAGGAGGUGCGGCGCUGGGGCGGGGUCCGCGACCUGCACUUGGUGGACCGUGAUGUGCUGCGCUGGAGGGGACUGCUGCUGCCUAACAAUCCCCCCUACAACGCGGGUGCCUUUCGCUUUGAGCUGGCCUUCUCCCCACAUUACCCCCUUGUGCCUCCUCGUGUCACGCUUCUCACCAGCAUCCACCACCCCGGUGUGGGCCCCGACGGCACCGUGUGCCAGCCCCUCACUUCCCCUGAGAGCUGGGAGCCGGUCACUUGCGCCACACACGUGCUGCAGGACCUGCUGCUGCUGCUCGACAACCCCGGCACUGAGCGGGUGCUGCGCCCUGAGCUGGCCCGUGAGCUGAGCGAGAGGCCUGAGGCCUUCCUGCACCAGGCAGAGGAGCACACCCGCCGCUAUGCCGAGCCGCGCCCUGACACCCCUGGACCCUGAUCCCCCACCUCAGAGCCCCCUGCCCUGUACAUAAAACUCCCACUUCAAUCCUGUGACUCCUCUGCGCGAUGCUGUCCCCGCGAGAGAUGAGG